This 391-nucleotide unclassified non-coding RNA is filed under the name soil metagenome. RNAcentral's name for it is "partial contains 5.8S ribosomal RNA, internal transcribed spacer 2, and large subunit ribosomal RNA". The stretch from base 1 to 122 matches the Rfam family "5.8S ribosomal RNA", at positions 35 to 154 of the family's 154-position model. The record is from RNAcentral.
GAUGAAGAACAUAGCGAAAUGCGAUACUUGGUGUGAAUUGCAGAAUCCCGUGAACCAUCGAGUCUUUGAACGCAAGUUGCGCCCGAAGCCAUUAGGCCGAGGGCACGCCUGCCUGGGCGUCACACGUCGUUGCCCCCCCAUCUACUCCUUCGGGAUUGCGGGGGGCGGAUGAUGGCCUCCCGUGCGCCUCGUCGCGCGGUUGGCCUAAAUGCCAAGUCCUCGGCGACGCACGCCACGACAAUCGGUGGUUGCGAAACCUCGGUUGCCCGUCGUGUGCGGUCGUCGCGCAUCGAGGGCUCGAAAAAAUUGCCGGGCUUCGGCUCGACUUUCAACGCGACCCCAGGUCAGGCGGGGUUACCCGCUGAAUUUAAGCAUAUCAAUAAGCGGAGGA